Molecule: ribosomal RNA, 506 nt
Filed under: uncultured bacterium
Lineage: Bacteria
Description: bacterial SSU rRNA
Rfam family: Bacterial small subunit ribosomal RNA
Source: RNAcentral
GCACAUAAGACAUAGCAAGUCGAACGGAAGUCGUUAUAAUUGAGUUGAGUGAAAGAUUAUCCGGAACGAUAAUGAUUUAUAACAAUGGCUUAGUGGCGGACUGGUGAGUAACGCGUAAGCAAUCUGCCUAUCAGAGGGGAAUAACAGUGAGAAAUCAUUGCUAAUACCGCAUAUGCCAUGAGUAUCGCAUGAUACAAUUGGGAAAAGGAGUAAUCCGCUGAUAGAUGAGCUUGCGUCUGAUUAACUUGUUGGUGGGGUAACGGCCUACCCAAGGUGACGAUCAGUAGCCGGACUGAGAGGUUGAACGGCCACAUUGGGACUGAGAUACGGCCCAGACUCCUACGGGAGGCAGCAGUCGGGAAUACUGCGCAAUGGAGGAAAAACCUCUGACGCAGUGACGCCGCGUAUAGGAUGAAGGUUUUCGGAUUGUAAACUAUUGUCGUUAGGGAAGAAUAAAAGACAGUACCUAAGGAGGAAGCUCCGGCUAACUACGUGCCAGCCGCCGC